RNAcentral lists this transfer RNA (72 nucleotides) under Lophopotamon yenyuanense. RNAcentral describes it as "tRNA-Val". It matches the Rfam family "tRNA". From Rfam's summary of the family: Transfer RNA (tRNA) molecules are approximately 80 nucleotides in length. Their secondary structure includes four short double-helical elements and three loops (D, anti-codon, and T loops). Further hydrogen bonds mediate the characteristic L-shaped molecular structure. tRNAs have two regions of fundamental functional importance: the anti-codon, which is responsible for specific mRNA codon recognition, and the 3' end, to which the tRNAs corresponding amino acid is attached (by aminoacyl-tRNA synthetases). tRNAs cope with the degeneracy of the genetic code in two manners: having more than one tRNA (with a specific anti-codon) for a particular amino acid; and 'wobble' base-pairing, i.e. permitting non-standard base-pairing at the 3rd anti-codon position. The record is from RNAcentral. Lineage: Eukaryota; Metazoa; Arthropoda; Malacostraca; Decapoda; Potamidae.
CAAGGUAUAACUAAAUAGAAUAGUGUUUCAUUUACGUUGAAAUAAGUUAUCGUGCAAAUCGAUUUGCUUUGA